Molecule: ribosomal RNA, 193 nt
Filed under: Leucetta microraphis
Lineage: Eukaryota; Metazoa; Porifera; Calcarea; Clathrinida; Leucettidae
Description: partial 28S ribosomal RNA
Source: RNAcentral
UCCCUUAAAAUGUAGUGGCCGAACGUUGUGCCGAUGCAUGGCUUUGGGUCGGUUCGUCCCGGUUCUGCUCGCACGGCUGAUCAGUCCGUCGUGUUGCAGCUGCCGUAGGGUGCACUUGACAUCAUGCUGGCUCAAAUCGUUCGAAACAAGCCAUCUCUGGAGAACUUUCGCGUGUAAAGCGCAACACCUUCGA